RNAcentral lists this ribosomal RNA (442 nucleotides) under uncultured bacterium. RNAcentral describes it as "partial 16S ribosomal RNA". It matches the Rfam family "Bacterial small subunit ribosomal RNA", at positions 338 to 795 of the family's 1533-position model. The record is from RNAcentral.
CCUACGGGAGGCAGCAGUGGGGAAUAUUGGGCAAUGGGCGCAAGCCUGACCCAGCAACGCCGCGUGAAGGAAGAAGGCUUUCGGGUUGUAAACUUCUUUUUAGAGGGAAGUGAAGAAGACGAUACCUCUUGAAUAAGCCACGGCUAACUACGUGCCAGCAGCCGCGGUAAUACGUAGGUGGCGAGCGUUGUCCGGAUUUACUGGGUGUACAGGGCGUGCAGCCGGGCUGACAAGUCAGAUGUGAAAUCCCGUGGCUCAACCACGGAACUGCAUUUGAAACUGUCGGUCUUGAGUAUCGGAGAGGCAGGCGGAAUUCGUAGUGUAGCGGUGAAAUGCGUAGAUAUUAGGAGGAACACCGGUUGCGAAGGCGGCCUGCUGGACGGCAACUGACGGUGAGGCGCGAAAGCGUGGGGAGCAAACAGGAUUAGAUACCCUGGUAGUC